GUGUGGACGGGAUAAGUGCUGAAAGCAUCUAAGCAUGAAGCCCCCCUCAAGAUGAGAUUUCCCAUUACGCAAGUAAGUAAGAUCCCUCAAAGACGAUGAGGUAGAUAGGUUCGAGGUGGAAGUGUGGUGACACAUGGAGCUGACGAAUACUAAUCGAUCGAGGACUUAACCAAAAA
Molecule: ribosomal RNA, 176 nt
Filed under: Lysinibacillus sp. AR18-8
Lineage: Bacteria; Bacillati; Bacillota; Bacilli; Caryophanales; Bacillaceae
Description: partial 23S ribosomal RNA
Rfam family: Bacterial large subunit ribosomal RNA
Source: RNAcentral